This 847-nucleotide long non-coding RNA is filed under the name Sinocyclocheilus anshuiensis. RNAcentral's name for it is "lncRNA (ENSSANG00000015343.1)". Lineage: Eukaryota; Metazoa; Chordata; Actinopteri; Cypriniformes; Cyprinidae. The record is from RNAcentral.
UGUGCGAGUGUGUGUGUGUGUGUGUGUGCGAGUGUGUGUGUGUGUGUGUGUGUGUGUGCGUGUGUUCGUGUUUUCACUUUAGCGAGCUCUGUCUUCUCUUUUCCCUCUGUAGCACUCAGAUGAAAACACGCGAUCAGAAUGCUGUUGUAACGCUACAGCAGGUCUUUCCUUCACAUAAACUGAUCUCAAUGGACUGGAAAGACAGUGAAGGUGUUUAUUCCUCAAGGAGGAGCUGAGGAGUUUGUCUGAAGAGCUGGCUCAGUGUCAGUUGCAAUGCUAGCAGGAAACUCACGGGACUUAAUCCUCCUGCACAUUGUUAAAUCCCCAGCAGGUGGUGCCUAAAAACAAACACCUGCAUUGUCAACAGCAUCUCAAACGUGUAAUCAUUAUAGACGGAGCAACCCAUAUUACUAAUAUAUCAUAAUUUCUGAGCUCAUAGCUUCCUUACAGACAUCUAAACACCGAUCUUGGUAACUGCUAAUUAAGAAGAGCCCUCAGUUACUCGCUGUACAGCAGUCAAAGCCUUACUCUGACCUGCAUCAUCAUCGUCGGCGGACUCUGUCGAGCUGUUCUUCACUCGCCUGCGGUUCACAAUUGAUUUAUGUAUUUACAUGUAUUUAUAAAGCAUCACGUAUCAUUUAUGUAAAAGGCGCAGUGCCUGUCCAUCGACUGCCAUUAACUGCAAAAUGUUUCUAGUGGACCUGAGAAUUAUCAGGCAGGCAGUUUUACUUUAUUAAUAUUUGUAUAAAUAGCACCAUUCAAUGAGUGCGCUCAUCCAGUGGGCAUUCACGGUCUGCUGUAUGAGAUAAAUAAUUCAUCAAUACGACUGCCUUUCAACAUAUCAAAC